Molecule: long non-coding RNA, 432 nt
Organism: Zophobas morio
Lineage: Eukaryota; Metazoa; Arthropoda; Insecta; Coleoptera; Tenebrionidae
Exons: 3
Source: RefSeq, a predicted model, not a curated record
GCACGUUGUGACUUGUUGAAUGUUAUAUAGGGCAAGAAGUUUGUAAUUAUACAGAAUUACAGACUGUGAAUAUUGAAAACUGAAAAAGGUACGUGUUCAUAUCAUGUAUGCAGUGGUUGAAUUUGAGGAUAGAAAAUGUGCGGUGGUGCCUUUAAAUUGGCUCCUAGAAGAUCAGCAAAUGUGUUAUUGGCCAAGAGCUGCCACCCCACAACAGUUUGACAAAAUGAUUUCAACAUGCAAAGAACCACUACGUUCAUGGCCCAAGUAUAAAGUGAUCAACGUUACUGAUAUAAAAGCUGAUUACGAUGAUGCGAAUGCUUUACUUCAAAAGAUGAUCGAGGAGAGUUCUAGCUCCUCCGACUCAGGUAAUGCACAGCAGCCGCUACACGUUUUAGAAGUGAAUGUGAUAACUAAUGAUGUGAAAGAAAAAGA